RNAcentral lists this ribosomal RNA (402 nucleotides) under uncultured Cutibacterium sp. RNAcentral's name for it is "bacterial SSU rRNA". It matches the Rfam family "Bacterial small subunit ribosomal RNA", at positions 338 to 737 of the family's 1533-position model. Lineage: Bacteria; Bacillati; Actinomycetota; Actinomycetes; Propionibacteriales; Propionibacteriaceae. The record is from RNAcentral.
CCUACGGGCGGCUGCAGUGAGGAAUAUUGGUCAAUGGGCGAGAGCCUGAACCAGCCAAGUAGCGUGCAGGAUGACGGCCCUAUGGGUUGUAAACUGCUUUUAUGUGGGGAUAAAGUGAGCUACGUGUAGUUUAUUGCAGGUACCACAUGAAUAAGGACCGGCUAAUUCCGUGCCAGCAGCCGCGGUAAUACGGAAGGUCCAGGCGUUAUCCGGAUUUAUUGGGUUUAAAGGGAGCGUAGGCUGGAGAUUAAGUGUGUUGUGAAAUGUAGACGCUCAACGUCUGAAUUGCAGCGCAUACUGGUUUCCUUGAGUACGCACAACGUUGGCGGAAUUCGUCGUGUAGCGGUGAAAUGCGCAGAUAUCAGGAGGAACACCGAUGGCGAAGGCAGGUCUCUGGGCUGU